UACAGAGGGGGCAAGCGUUAUUCGGAAUUAUUGGGCGUAAAGGGCGCGUAGGCGGCUUGGCAAGUGGAAGGUGAAAUCCCUCGGCUUAACCGAGGAACUGCCCUCCAAACUGCUUGGCUUGAGACCGGGAGAGGUGAGUGGAAUUCCCAGUGUAGCGGUGAAAUGCGUAGAGAUCGGGAAGAAUACCCGUGGCGGAGGCGGCCAGCUGGGCCAGAUCCGACACUGAGGCGCGAAAGCGUGGGGAGCAAACAGG
Molecule: ribosomal RNA, 253 nt
Filed under: uncultured bacterium
Lineage: Bacteria
Description: partial 16S ribosomal RNA
Rfam family: Bacterial small subunit ribosomal RNA
Source: RNAcentral